AAACGAACGCUGGCGGCAUGCCUAACACAUGCAAGUCGAACGAGACCUUCGGGUCUAGUGGCGCACGGGUGCGUAACGCGUGGGAAUCUGCCCUUGGGUUCGGAAUAACAGCGAGAAAUUGCUGCUAAUACCGGAUGAUGACGUAAGUCCAAAGAUUUAUCGCCCAAGGAUGAGCCCGCGUAGGAUUAGCUAGUUGGUGAGGUAAAGGCUCACCAAGGCGACGAUCCUUAGCUGGUCUGAGAGGAUGAUCAGCCACACUGGGACUGAGACACGGCCCCAGACUCCUACGGGAGGCAGCAGUGGGGGAAUAUUGGACAAUGGGGCGAAAGACCUGAUCCAGCAAUGCCGCGUGAGUGAU
RNAcentral lists this ribosomal RNA (358 nucleotides) under uncultured bacterium. Its description in RNAcentral is "bacterial SSU rRNA". It matches the Rfam family "Bacterial small subunit ribosomal RNA", at positions 29 to 409 of the family's 1533-position model. The record is from RNAcentral.